UACGUAGGGUGCAAGCGUUGUCCGGAAUUAUUGGGCGUAAAGAGCUCGUAGGCGGUUUGUCGCGUCUGCUGUGAAAACUCGGGGCUUAACCCCGGGCCUGCAGUGGGUACGGGCAGACUAGAGUGCGGUAGGGGAGACUGGAAUUCCUGGUGUAGCGGUGGAAUGCGCAGAUAUCAGGAGGAACACCGGUGGCGAAGGCGGUUCUCUGGGCCUUACCUGACGCUGAGGAGCGAAAGCGUGGGGAGCAAACAGG
This 253-nucleotide ribosomal RNA is filed under the name uncultured bacterium. Its description in RNAcentral is "partial 16S ribosomal RNA". It matches the Rfam family "Bacterial small subunit ribosomal RNA", at positions 524 to 776 of the family's 1533-position model. The record is from RNAcentral.